Molecule: microRNA precursor, 190 nt
Filed under: Oryza brachyantha (malo sina)
Lineage: Eukaryota; Viridiplantae; Streptophyta; Magnoliopsida; Poales; Poaceae
Description: MIR812 microRNA precursor family
Rfam family: MIR812 microRNA precursor family
Source: Rfam by way of RNAcentral
AAUAAGAUCAUUUUUCAGUUUUUUUAUACAACGUUCUGAUUCUUUGUCUUAUUUAAAAAUUUUUUGUGAUUAAUAUUUUUAUUCUUACUAGAUGAUAAAACACGAAUAGUACUUUAUCCGUGACUAAUUUUUUAAAUUUUUUUAUAAAUUUUUUAAAUAAAACGAAUGGUCAAACGUUGGACACGGAAAA